CCCCCUCCUCCUGCCGCCCGUGCCGCUCCCGCCGCCUCGUGUCGGGAUGCCGGCGCCUUCUCUCGCUGCCGUUCCUUGUCUCCGAGUAACGCGUGGAAUCCCCCGCUGGCGCUCAGAGGAGCCGACCCGGGAGCCUCCCCCCGCCCCGCUGCGGUGGACGUUAAUUCCCCUUUCCGCACAAAAGUUUCUGGAGAAUUCCUUGCCCCGCUGCUCCCCGCCCCCUGUGAAUAAGGUGACGCAGUGUGAAGCGGGAGGCUGACUUUCAUCCACUGCAGGAUGUGAUGAGUUCAAGGAGAAAGCCAGAUGUCAGGUGUUGAAGUCCUCCCUCAGGUCUGUAACUUCAAAAUGGGGCCUGUUUGGGGGUGCACUUUGAGCCAGGUGACCUCCAGCAGCUCCCCAAACAAGCUAAAGGAAUCUUUGCUCUUGUGAGACACUUUCUUUUUAAUAGUGUGGAGUGCCUGGCUAGUGCUCAGCGCAGCAUCCACGGCGAAUACAAAUGCACUGUGCAGCCAGCCCUCUGCAUAGCCCCAGCCAGAGAUCUUCACAAGUUUCACUGUGAAUGCUUCUUUCUUCAUCCAUCUCGAACUGCAACCAGCAACCACACAGUAAACUUGCCAGAUGAGGCUCCCCACCAGAUGAAAAGGAGCAGUAAAAAUUACAGCUUCCCAAACUAUCCCUUACUGUGAAUAAAGACAGCUUCUAGUAAAGGAGAGAGACAGGGUUUCCUGGUCGCAAGGCUCUGCCAUGGUCCUUCCACCUCUCAGCUGAUAGCAAUUUAUACAGACACAAAGCACUAACUUGCAAAUUAGAAAUUUACUAGGGCUAAGCCAGGGAGUUUGGACACAGUAAAUAAAAUCCAGCAACCUAUCUUAAGCUGUGAGGUAUCCCUCUGAGCUUUAAGUAUUACUGUGGGAAAAGAAUAGAAAAAUGAAAGGCAAAAAAAAAAAAAUUCAGGCUAAAACUGUAAAAUUAUAUGUCAACAUUUCCUUUUAUACAACAGCUACAUGAAGCUAUGGGAUAAAUCUGGCCUGACAGAACAGCUCAUCCCGUUCCUGGUCUGUUCCCCACUGCCAGCCACAGCUGGGUCAUUCCAGGGCCCUGAACACAUCCCCCACCCGCGUGUUUCAUUAAAAUGUAAAUGUGCUCUUGCAUGCAAACAGCAGCUGCUUGAAUGGUUGGUCAGUAGAGCACUGGGGGGAUGUGGGAGGGACGCAGGAGACAGGCUGAGCAGGCAGACUCCCGAUGACGUGCUGGGAGAACACAUCGCUGGUAUUCGUGAUAGGCAGUGGUCAUGUCUUUGCUAUAAAACAGAAUUUUCCCUACCUUCAAGCCAAAUAUUUGUUUAAAGGUUAGAAAAUGUUUGCAUAAGAACACACCUCUCUUCAGUUACAGGAAAGUGUGUCUGGGUAAGCUGAACCAGCCUCCUUCAGUUUUCCAUUUUUAUGAAUCAGUCACUCUCCAUUUUUAGAAGCCUCUCACACUUGGAGGCUUGUUGCACUGAAGAGAAAAGGAGGACUCUCUGCUGAACAGAACCUGCAGUACUCUCCUAACUUAAUUUUUAUCUCCAAAGCUUUCUAGAGGCAUGGACUGAGGGGAACAAUGGCAGAGUGUCACAGCUGUGUCACCAAAGCAUUCAGUUCUUGCUUCCAAAGCAAACAUCUGGACUGUCUGAGUUUUAGCCACCAUUAUUGAUAUUCAUAUUUUAACUCAAAGUGCCUAACAUAACAAAUAACUUAAUUAUAUAUUUCUUUGGAAUAAGAAGGUGUCUUCAUAUUCAGUUUUCUGAUUUGAGUGAUUGUAUUUACCAUGAUAAUAUCACAUAUGAAUGCAGUUAGGGCAUUCCAGCUUCAUUCCACAGUAUGCUAUAUCCAUUUACAUGUUUUGCUAGUCAAGGAUUAGGCUAGUUGAGUAUUCAGUGUACUGAAUUCCAUGUUCUGUCCUGUAUAACAUGACUUCACAACAUGCUUCAGCAGGGAGUGACUGAAACUGGGGAGCAGGCUGCUACAGAACAGCCUUUUCCUAGCAGACGUUUCAUUCUAUGGUGACCAUUCCUCUUAAUAAAAUAUGCAUCCAGUUAAUAAAGUGUACCGCAUCAUCACAUUGUACACCAACAGUGCUCUGUGGCGACUGGGCUCCUUACUGUUGGAGAAGUCCAGCUGCAAGCAGAGUGAAGAAACCCACUGUUGGAAGAUACUGGUGUUCUUCAUUGCAUGAAACUCCCUCAGAGCUACAGAAAAUGCAAAUACAAGCUGCCUGUCUAGGGACAGAAAAGAAGGCAGACAUUCUAAUCCACCAUAGAACUGAGACAGAAACCACAGUUGUGUCCUGGGGUACUAGAAAACCACAGAGAAAAUUAGUAGUUUCCAACUCUGCUGCCUGGGGAGGUAGGACAACUCCCCUAUCACAUCACUGGGCAUGCAGCUUCUAUGGCAUAGUCCAGAGGCUGAGAAAAUCCUCUCUUGUACAUAAGAAGUGUAAGGCCCUUUCAGAGCUAUAUGAGUCACUGACAUUUUCUGUUGGGAGAAAAGUAAAAAUGAAAUGAAGAAGUGUUAAUGGCAGUCUGUUCUUCUCUGAGAUUUUUGGUUAACUAGAAUAAUCUUUAAUUACAGAAAUGUUGCCAAUGAAAUGCUGAAGGGCUUGAGACAUCAGAAGAUAAGGAGGUGCUGGCUAGAGGAAGAGGACCGCUUGGUGGCAGACAGUGACCAGAGAGGGGGAUCACUGGACUCUAGUCUUUUGUCCAGUGACUGAAAAUGACAAUAGAUAAAAAUAGUAGCUUCAGUGAAAAGCAAGAAUAGCACAAAGCAGUGCUCCAGUGCCCAGAGCCUGGUCUGUGCUGGGUGGCAUAGGCCAAAGAGGAGAUUUGACAUGGACGCUCUGCUGCUGUAAUCGCUGGGCUCUAGUCAGUGAGCAGGAAUGAGUCUGGGGAAAGGGAAACACCCAUGUUUGGCACUGUUACUUCUAUCAAGAUUAUAACAUAUUUUCAGCACCAAAAAGAAAACUGGAAGUUACUCAUAUGCACAGAAACUUCAAGUUAACUGAAAGGAUUAUUUAUUUUCCUUUUAUUUUUGCCCCCACCAAAAGAGUAGUCUCUUAGCCAGAUCACAAAACUUUUUCCAUCAGUCUUAGAAGAAAAAGCCCUUCCUCUCAUUAUGUUGUAGAACCUUAAGUCCCAGGAGCUGGGUAAAUAAAAUUAGUUACCAGGCAAUACUUAUCCUGCCAAACCUGUUCUGCUCUGGCAUACGUACAGCAUGAACUCACAGUACAGGGAACAGAGGAGGUGGUGGUGAGGAAUAGUGGGAUGAACCAGGACAGUGUGGGAGGCAAUGGAAAAUUAAGUGGGGAAAACGUGAAGCAGUAUCAAAGCCGUGUCACCGACAGCUGAAUAUUGAAUAGCAGCAGGGAACUGCUUUGUCCUUCAGAACCUUUCUUCAAAUUUGGCAUGGAUAUAAAUUCAGUGGUUAUGACAGUUUGAAGUCUGAUCAGUCCUAAAUUAUGUAUACAUGAAGAAAGAUUGCCAUUAAUGUGCGAGUCUCUGAAUUCACUUCUAUUAAUGAUUCUGCCCCUGGAAUAUUUUUUAAUGAAACUGAUAAGAAGUAGAAUCCUUCAUUAUUUAGUCUAUCUGUUAAGUUAAGGCUGGAACAUAAUACAUUUCCUUUUAUAGAAGAAUAUUUUUCUGAUCAAUUGUUUCUAAAUACUGAAGUUACAAGCUUUUGCAGAAGUUAGUACAAGGUUGGCUAGUGGCUCUGAUUGAAUGUCAUGGCCCUGUGGGCAGGCAGGAUGUGAAUUUGUAAGAAUCACAUCCUCACAGACAAUAACACAAAUGUAGUUAAGUUGAGAGGCUGUCAGAUGUUGCCAUGUGUUCUGUUUCCAAUGGGUAAGGUGUUCUAUUUUGGUUAAAUGGAAUAAUCUAGAUUUGGGUCAAAUAAAGUAAAACUUACAAAAGUUGAGAGCCUGACUUUUCAGUGAAAAAAGUAAUCUGUGAAGAGGGGAUGCAUUCCCAUCUUAAUUUGGCAGGAGGAUGGAGAUGGAAUAAGAGAGUACAGAUGUAUUUAGGUCUUUAAAAUUUAUCAGCAGCAUACUGCUGACAGUAGAUACAUUGCUUUGGAAGAAAAAGAGUCAGCAAAUUUUGUGUCCAUGUUCAUGCCAUUUCCAACAAAACGUGCCUGGCUAAAUUCUACUUGAGAGGGAAGGGAUAAAGCUUGAGAUUUAGUGGUUUCCUCAAAAAAACCCAAAAAAACAACCAAACAUUUUAUGCUGUGUACUUAAUGGUGCAACGCUGUCCACAAAGGUUAAGACCACUGAUGUGUGAUAGCAAAGGAAUGAAUGUACCUAGUUUGGACCUAUAUUUAGGGGAAGGUUUGCAUCAUGAAGUAGUAGUGUUUAGAAUCAAGGAAGUUUAUAUGCAUGGUCAGGCACAAUUUCUUUCUUGAGUGAGUCAUCCUUGUUCAGCAUAAAUAUAAUUUUCUUUAGAGUUGCAAUAAGUAUUCUUAUCUAACCACUGAUCUUGCUGUCCAGUUAGAAUAACUGAUAGAUAACUCUUUUAUUAAGAUAAGCAUUUUAUGUCAUGGAAAAAGUAGUGUCAUGUAUAUUUGCCACCAGGUUUACCAGUGACAUUAUCCAGAAAGCAGCUUGGUUUAUCUAAGAGGUAUAGGUCCAAUGGGGAUGAGGGCUGCAUAUGUGUACAUAAACACACACACCCAUGUAUAUACAGAUAUGGUCUUGUAUAAUUGUAUAUAUAGCAUGCUUCUUCAAACUCCUCACUAUUAUAUUCCAGGUUGUGCCAUAUCUUUGUAGAAAGGUAAUUACCUGUUAUUUGUAGGAUUGAGUUAACACUAAAGAAAUGUAUUAGCUCAGAGAAUUCAGUAUGUCAACAUGACCUUAUUAGUGAAUUGCAUUAGAUAAAAUUCAACAUUUUCAAUAAAAUGACCUUGCCUUCCUAAGUCCUGGGACAGUCACCCAGCAGAAACAGUCUUUUUAAUCUCUUGUUCAAGAUGUUGAAAAGACAAAUAGUUGAUAUACUUAACACUUUGUACUGGAAAAGUAGGGUUCAAGUAAAAAAAUAUUUUAUAUCUUUUCCAUCUACUCUGUCGAAUUUUUUGUUCUUCUUCCCCCAGCCUGGCAAUCUGCUCUUAAAGGUGGUCAUGGUGGGAAAUAAAAUAAUGCAGUAGCUAAAGUGGGCUCACACAACUGUGGAUGUCCAAGCCUCCAUCCUGGUCUUCCCAGUUCUGAGACCAGUUUUGGUUUUGUCUUGAAGAUGCUAUGUCAGUUCUUGGUCACCCAGGAAAUAAUGGUGUCAGCAAAGCCCACCAGCUUUCUCUGGGCCUGUUUCAAAACAUACAGACUUAGAAUUGAUUACACACUAAAUGGUCUGUCUGUAAUUACUUUUUACAGUAGUUGGGCUCUAUUUCCAUGGUUUCUGAUUUUGGCUAACUAGGGCCCUAGUCCUGGUCUUAGUUUAGUGGUCCUGUUGGGCUAUAGUGUACAUCCUUUUGCCUCUUUUAAUUCAAUUUGCAUCAAUGUAGAAUUUGUGUACUUGUUGUAAAAUCAAUUUUGUGCUACAGGCUGAGUUGGACUUGUGUUCAGUGGCGGACAAAAACCUGGACGCAGCCGUGGUGACAUUCUCUCUGACAGCUCAUGCACCCUUUCACCCAUUCACGGAAAGGUCACAUUAACUUGUCAAAACAGCUUUCAGCUUCAGCUCCAUUUGAUUCUGUGUUCCUGGGCCACAGCAUGUGUACACAGCACAGCACUGCUCUUUGAGGCCUCCUUGCCCUGGGCUAUGAGGUUGGAAGGAACAAUAUGUUCAUGCUCGGACUGGAUGUACUGGGGCCAGUGUGCUGGAGCUUGGUCUAGACACUGACUGCUCUUUGGCUCUGCCUCAGGCAGCUGGGCUCCAGUGACUGGAGAUGUUUCCCUUUGGAGCAGUGAGUGUCUUCAUGACUGCAAGGCAAUGGUUCCAGCCCAUAGGAGACCUAGUGGAUAGUGCAUCUCAUCUCCAGGCCAAGAUUCCUUGCUAAAGUAGAGAGGUCUAGUGCUGGAUGUAGCUGCCUGCAUGUGGAUCAUACAGGGCAGGUUCUUAGGAUUAGUUUCAGAUGCUGUCUAGACGCUGCCCAAGAAGUAAUCAGCUGUGGAAUAAGCAGGGUUGAAGAUUUGGGAAAGGAUCUCUUUCCCGCUUCAUCCACAGCUGAUAGCUAGGAUCUACUGCAGCUUGGCUUUUCAUGGCUCUAGGCUCCUAGAGAGCAGUGCUAGUGAGAGGCCCAUCUUUGCAGUGCCUAAUGUAAAAUACAUUCUAACCCAGACACUUGGGCAUACGUGAAAACAACACUUGUAUCUGACCUUGCGUAUUUCCUGUGCUGUUUGGAUCCUACAGUUUAAAGGAGCUUAAUGUUUAACUGUAGGGUGGCGUAAGUUCCAAUGCUUCCCUGAAAAUGUCCCAGCAGGAUGGAGGACCCAGGCAACCUCUUCCCUGGGCACAGGCUUUACAGCCAGCACAUGGUGGAGGGAAACACUGAAACAGGGACCCUUCUCUCUUUGUUUCUGCAGGGCAAAUCUGUGUGUUUCUGUGGUUGGUCCUGACAGCUCAGAGGCCUAAAAGUUCUUCUCUGGGAGUGCAGCACAAACCAACACACUGUACCAGAGACCCUCAGCCAUGGCAUUUAUACCUUGUAGCUAAAGGCCCACAUUACCACAGUGAAGUCAGCAGGAAUUACUACUUCUCGAUGAGGAAACACAGGCAAACCAUCUAAUUUGUGAUACUCCCACCUAACCAUGCUAUUUAGACAGGUCCAUUUUCCAGGCAGCCUUUCUGCCUCAGCAGUGUUAUAUUUUAAUAAGUGCUAUUCAUUGCCUCACUGAACCAAUGUCUGGAACAGCCCAUGGGUACUAUUGCCACAUGCACCUGCUAUAAUGAACACCAAAGCCUAUUUCAGUGACCUGAAUCUUUUGAAAAUUUAGUCCUUUAUUUUUAUCCACUUAGAGGGAGCACAAGCUACAGUGUCCUACUUUUUCUCAACUGUGUCAUCUGACUUAUCAAUCAAAACUGAGGCUGAAUCUUCUUAUCACCCACUGACUUUCAAUCAACCUAACAAACUGAUCAGAAGUACAAAGGAAAGGUUUUGUCACUCAGCCCUAUACCUCUGCAAAUCUUGAGUCAUGUGAGAUAUUAUAAAGUUUACAAAAAAUACAAUUUCAGUAAGGCCAAAUCCUACACUCUUCCUUGGAAAGGUACGCUUAGAUAGAAAGAACAUCACAGGACAAAGAGAAAAACUUCUGUGAAGUAAGGCAACUUUAAUAUGAGCUUUUGUACUAUUGGGUUGCUUAAUUUUAAAUAUAAUACAAUAGUAGUAUCAUUUUUAUCCACUUCCAUCAGAGUCCACUGUACACUCUUAUAACAUUUACCAGAUACAGAAAUAUAAAAGAUAGUUGGCCUACAGGCUGUUAAAGAAAUGGCUUAAAAUGUAGGUCUAUCCUGAAGAACCUCUGUUAAAAAUGUGACAGGUUUUUCCCCUGCACUUUAGAAAAUGCAUGAAGCAGUUUAAAAAUAACGUCACCAUCACCCCUACCUCCAAAAUCUGGUUUUCUUGUUGUUAUGGCAAAACAAGUGUCAGUGACCUGAUCCUAUUCUGUCUGACUCAGGAGACAUAUAUAGGAAACAAUUACAACACAUGCUAGAAGAUAAUUCCUUCCUUCCUCUUAGAAACUCUUUCCCAGAAUCCAGCCUGUGAUCCUUCAAAAAGUCUUCAGCCUGGCCAGGAAUAAAGAAUAAAAGACUGAAAUAUCCCUGUUUCCAAGGAAAACAGCCCACAUUUCUCACUGUGCCACCAUUUGUCUUCUGAUGUCUCACACCUGAUUUUAAGACAGAUCUACAAAAAACGUUGAAAAUAUGUUAGGUUGGGACCUAACAUUCGCAGCCCUUUUGAACAUUGCCAACUGUGGAUUUUCUUUUUCUGCUGCGUUGUGAUUGUCUCUACCUCCCCCAGUUCUUUGUUUAAAUUAGUCCUACCUGUGCCUCUUCUUGCUCCUGGUUAAAGUCCUCGUCUCAUACACAUCCCAUAAAGUAAAUUUAGGACUGUAUUUUCAUAAACAGUAAAAUGAAAUAAAAUUAACACUAUAUAUAUUUUUCAAGCUGUCCUUUCAUAAAUUAAGUCCUAAGCAGUACCUCAGUGCAUACAACUAAUGAUCAAAUGCUAAGCCAGGCUGCAGAAUUGACCAUCAGCAUAGGUUUUCCAAUGAAACUGAAUGGGUGUUAAAUUAAUUUUGGGACAGUAGAUACACAGCUUAGUAUUUGGAACAAUCUUGCUCACAGGUUUUAUGCUUUGCAUGAACCUCUGUUUCCAAGUCAACCACCUCAUCACCUCAUCAUACACCUCAUCAACAUAAAACCAAUCAAAAUAUAAAUGAUUUAUAUAAAGUUAUAACUAAUAGUAAUCAGAUGUAUUGCCACAAUGACAAUUACUUUUAUUUUGUGUUCAUUAAAUAAAAAAUUGAAGUUUUUUACCAGGCAGUGCUCAGAGAAGGAAAGAUGAAAUAGAAACCCUAAUAUUAUUGGUUGUUGGAGUUAAUUUUAAUAUCACCAGUCAAAGGGACAAAUUAAUAAUUUUAACAUUGUACUGAUGUCUUCUGUUUUACUGCAGUUAAAAUCUUACCAUGGAAAGUUUGACUAUAAAAUACAAAGGCUUUCAUAUGCUGUGUGCCUCUAUGCCACAUUAAAUGUUUCUUUUUGAAAAAGCAUUAUUUUGGUGCAAUUUACCUGCAACAGCACAAAACUCUGUUGGUAAACAAAAAUCAAUCUGCUGAUGAAAUUCAGUACAUCUAAAACAUAUUACUUUGUAAAGGAAAUUAUUGCCUGUGGAGGAAGGAAAGUAUUGUCUGUAGAGAAGCAACUUCUGGGCUGUACACUCUUCUUCAGUUAAUCUGAGCUUUGAUUGCAAUAAUGUAGUUUAAAACAGUUCAUUCCAAAGAGUGAGACCAGAAGAAUCAGACUGUAAUAAAAGAAUGUUUCAGUAAGAUUUUUGUGAGAAAAGUGCAUAGUGAUACAUAUUUGACAUUAAGCUUCACUGAUACUAAGCAUUUAGGUUAGUGCUGAGUAGACCCCUUAUUCCUCAAAGGAAUCUCAGUCACAUUCCACAAGGGAAACAAGCAUGAGAACACAAGGAGAAUGUGCAGCAAGCAGCUAGAGGCUAAAUGAGGUCCUGUCAGAAUUUCAGUAAGGACAAAUCUCCCCUAGCCAAGAUCAGUGAAAGGAUCUUGUGGAGUUGCCUCAGAUGUUUAAGGCAACUAGAAGAGAAACACUAUUUGUCAGGUAAAAAUAGUUACAAGAAUCAGACAAUGAGUGAGGUUUUAUGAGAUUAUACUGAUGAAGAAAAUGAUGAUGGUUAUUCCUACUAUCCAAAACCAUAGCAAUUUGGUCCAGGGUUACAAAGAACCUCAAUAUUAUUGAGUAUUUAUAUCUUCAUGCUCUUAUCAAAUCUAUUCAGCCAUAAAAUUUAUCUAAUAUAUGAUAUUACUGUGUCAUAAUUACUGAACAACUUAAUUUUGAGCACUGAAAAGAGAGAAAAUUUCAGUGCUUUAAAUCUCCUGACAGCUUGCGAGUGAGGAAAUUUUGGUUUUCUGAUUUUCUAUCUGAAAAAUGGAGUAAUAGAAACAGAAGAUUACUUUCUGAAAGCCAGUCACCAUGAGAUUGGGAGAGGUAUUUAAUAACACAGUCAGGAGUGCCAGCAAACCCCUACUGGCAUCAUUAGGAGUUGACAUUCAGUUGAUAGCAGUACUUUUUUGCAAUCUCAUGAAGGACUUGCCAGCCUCCUAAACCUCUAAUCCCCAGUGGCUGAAGUCCCUGCAUGAGGAGAAAGCAAUGAUGGAAUCAGUUGCCUGCUGCCUGGAAAUGAAAUCUGUGUGCAAAGCACAGGGAAAGCGGAUUUUUCUACAGCGUGUGGAAGGGAUGUCUGAUUUCCAAGCUGGCCUCUGCCAGAAAGUUUCAUUCCCUGGCAGGGUCUUACCUUGCUCCUUCUCUGGGUCACACUUUUAACCUGUCAGUAAUUCCUGCAGGAUUUUCUGAAUGCUUGUAUGCAUGCAGCCAUGUCCAAAACUCAACCAAGUAGAAAGGGCUGAUGGUGACUUGCAGCAGAGCAGUUGUGCUCUGCUGCCAGUCACCAUCAGCCCUUUCUACUUGACACCCUCUCCUGCUAAAGAUUCAACAAACAUAACUCCCACUGAAGAACAACGGGUGUUUCCAGUUUAAAUGGCAGUGGAUGAAGAAUCCUAUUGGUGUGCAGUCCUUACCUUCCAGCUCAGCACCUCAGCACCUCAGGCAGAGCUGGCCUGAGUGACUUCCCGUGGUGUCUGGGCUGUGGUGGAAAUACUGGACAUAUGCCAGGGACACUGCAGCUGUUGGCUUGCUGCCUUCUCCCUCAUGUGGCUUGAUGUGGCUCAUGUAUGGUUUUCCACAGGCAAAGGGGAUAACAGACCUGAAGGACCAUUGCACAAAAGAACCUGUAACAGCUCAGGAAAACCAAGAGUCUUGCGGUUAGUUCCCUAAACACCAAUUCUGAAACUUGAAGAUAGACACUUCGAAAUUUUUAGCCACAGACUUCUUCCUACUUAGACAUUUCCAUUCAUAUUCUGUGAUAGAUAGACAUUAUUUUGGGAGAACAAAAUGGGCUAUUACCACAGGAUGAUAUAAAUUCUCCCUGUCUUCUGGGAAGUUCAGACUGAAAGAUAAUCUGGAUGUAACUAUCCUAAAACAUUAAACAUUUAUGAAAAAUAUAUAUCACGGCAUCUUACAUACAAUUGUGCAAUAUACUUUUGUGAUUUUGCUCCCAAGGCACUUCUUUUAGAUAUUAAAUUGAUGAAAAAUGGCGUGAGGCUUUGCAGCAAGAAAAGAUUUCUCCUCCAACCCCCCAAAUGAACUCCCUAAGACAUAUUUCUUCUGCUUCAUGUUAAAGCAGAAAACUGCAUUUCCACCUCAUCAUUUUAUAUUGUAAUGGUUCUGGUUAUGAAAAUGGAAUAAUCAAGAAAGCUAUUUUUAAAAUAGCUUCACUAAACUAUAGAGGAAAUUAUAUUGUCUGCUGAGUUAGAAAAUCUGUCUACAAUUAGAUUUAAAUGUCACUCCUUUCAGUGCAUUUUGGCAUUUCUGCAGACUGUAGCCCUUAUGAAGUAUAUAGUUCCAGAGUAUGGCCUUCCUCUUUUGAAAGUUAUGACCCUGUGGCAUGCUUUCAGGAGAUGAUGUCUUUAUAUCAGCUGUAAAAGAUAAUUAUCUAAUAGUUGAUGCAGUCUCAUUCCUGUGGCAUAAUUUGUUUUCAUUUACUUUUCCAUAUGUAUUGUGUGUUGUAAGAUUGUGAAGAAAAUUAUUCAUCGGUAGCUAAGGAUAGUACAUAAUUUUACUAUAAAUGUCUCUAUUUUGUAUUUUACAAGUGAUGCUUGUGUAUAUGAAGUGCUAUUUACAUAAAGAACAGUGGAAUUUCAA
This is a long non-coding RNA of Passer domesticus (house sparrow), 11461 nucleotides long. RefSeq lists it as uncharacterized. The transcript has 2 exons. NCBI's taxonomy places the organism in Eukaryota, Metazoa, Chordata, Aves, Passeriformes, Passeridae. The record is from RefSeq and is a predicted model, not a curated record.